Molecule: ribosomal RNA, 354 nt
Filed under: uncultured Desulfobulbus sp.
Lineage: Bacteria; Pseudomonadati; Thermodesulfobacteriota; Desulfobulbia; Desulfobulbales; Desulfobulbaceae
Description: bacterial SSU rRNA
Rfam family: Bacterial small subunit ribosomal RNA
Source: RNAcentral
CUGGAGACAGGUGCUGCAUGGCUGUCGUCAGCUCGUGUCGUGAGAUGUUGGGUUAAGUCCCGCAACGAGCGCAACCCUUGCCUUUAGUUGCCAGCAGUUCGGCUGGGCACUCUAAAGGGACUGCCGGUGUUAAACCGGAGGAAGGUGGGGAUGACGUCAAGUCCUCAUAGCCUUUAUGACCAGGGCUACACACGUACUACAAUGGCCGAUACAAAGGGCAGCGACACUGCGAGGUGAAGCCAAUCCCGUAAAAUCGGUCUCAGUCCGGAUUGGAGUCUGCAACUCGACUCCAUGAAGUUGGAAUCGCUAGUAAUCGUGGAUCAGCAUGCCACGGUGAAUACGUUCCCGGGCCUU